AUUUUAAUUAUGCGUACAGAUAUUUUAUUGUUUAGAGUACUAUUUAAGAACAUUCUUUAAUUUCCAAAUAUCAGUACUACCGCAUAUUUAACACUAUCAAGAAUAUGAAAUUUCCAAGCGCUUUGCUGACCCUUUUCCUAGGAACUAUUUUGAUGAUGAAUUUCGGAACAUCUGUAGGCCAAAUGCCACCAGGUCCACCUGGUGGUGGACCUCCAUCAGGUAUGCCUUCUGGAGCUGAUGGUUUUAUGGGUGGAUUAGGAGGUGAUAUGUCAAUGGGUGGUGGACCAGGGAAUGCACAUGGCUAGGUUAAGCUCGUCGCUAAAUUUAAUACGUUUUAAAGUGUAUUAAUAAAAUUUCAGAACAUUGAGCA
This is a long non-coding RNA of Eupeodes corollae, 370 nucleotides long. RefSeq lists it as uncharacterized. The transcript has 3 exons. NCBI's taxonomy places the organism in Eukaryota, Metazoa, Arthropoda, Insecta, Diptera, Syrphidae. The record is from RefSeq and is a predicted model, not a curated record.